GAUGAACGCUGGCGGCGUGCCUAACACAUGCAAGUCGAGCGAAGCACUUACUUUAGAUUUCUUCGGAAUGACGAAGUUUGUGACUGAGCGGCGGACGGGUGAGUAACGCGUGGGCAACCUGCCCUGUACAGGGGGAUAACAGUUAGAAAUGAUUGCUAAUACCGCAUAAGCCCACAGCUUCGCAUGAAGCAGUGGGAAAAACUCCGGUGGUACAGGAUGGGCCCGCGUCUGAUUAGCUAGUUGGUAAGGUAACGGCUUACCAAGGCGACGAUCAGUAGCCGACCUGAGAGGGUGACCGGCCACAUUGGGACUGAGACACGGCCCAAACUCCUACGGGAGGCAGCAGUGGGGAAUAUUGCACAAUGGGGGAAACCCUGAUGCAGCGACGCCGCGUGAGCGAUGAAGUAUUUCGGUAUGUAAAGCUCUAUCAGCAGGGAAGAAAGUGACGGUACCUGACGAAGAAGCCCCGGCUAACUACGUG
RNAcentral lists this ribosomal RNA (481 nucleotides) under uncultured bacterium. RNAcentral's name for it is "partial 16S ribosomal RNA". It matches the Rfam family "Bacterial small subunit ribosomal RNA", at positions 28 to 507 of the family's 1533-position model. The record is from RNAcentral.